Molecule: ribosomal RNA, 841 nt
Filed under: Tubeufia tectonae
Lineage: Eukaryota; Fungi; Ascomycota; Dothideomycetes; Tubeufiales; Tubeufiaceae
Description: eukaryotic LSU rRNA
Rfam family: Eukaryotic large subunit ribosomal RNA
Source: RNAcentral
ACAACAGGGAUUGCCUCAGUAACGGCGAGUGAAGCGGCAAUAGCUCAAAUUUGAAAUCUGCUCUUUUUGAGUCGAAUUGUAAUUUGUAGAGGAUGCUUCGGCUUACGUCUCGGUCUAAGUUCCUUGGAACAGGACGUCACAGAGGGUGAGAAUCCCGUUUGUGGCCGCGACUUCCGCCAUGUGAAGCUCCUUCGACGAGUCGAGUUGUUUGGGAAUGCAGCUCUAAAUGGGAGGUAUAUUUCUUCUAAAGCUAAAUACCGGCCAGAGACCGAUAGCGCACAAGUAGAGUGAUCGAAAGAUGAAAAGCACUUUGGAAAGAGAGUUAAAAAGUACGUGAAAUUGUUGAAAGGGAAGCGCUUGCGACCAGACUUGCCCGCGGAUGCUCAACCGGUCCUUCGGCCGGUGCACUCUUCCGCGGUCAGGCCAGCAUCAGUUCGAGUAGCCAGAUAAAGGCUUAGGGAAUGUGGCUCUCUUCGGGGAGUGUUAUAGCCCUUUGUGCAAUAUGGCUCACUUGGACUGAGGCCCGCGCUUCGGCUAGGAUGCUGGCGUAAUGGUCGUAAGCGGCCCGUCUUGAAACACGGACCAAGGAGUCUAACAUCUAUGCGAGUGUUUGGGUGUCAAACCCGUGCGCGAAAUGAAAGUGAACGGAGGUGGGAACCUUUGGGUGCACCAUCGACCGAUCCUGAUGUCUUCGGAUGGAUUUGAGUAAGAGCAUAGCUGUUGGGACCCGAAAGAUGGUGAACUAUGCCUGAAUAGGGUGAAGCCAGAGGAAACUCUGGUGGAGGCUCGCAGCGGUUCUGACGUGCAAAUCGAUCGUCAAAUUUGGGUAUAGGGGCGAAAG